RNAcentral lists this ribosomal RNA (253 nucleotides) under uncultured bacterium. Its description in RNAcentral is "partial 16S ribosomal RNA". It matches the Rfam family "Bacterial small subunit ribosomal RNA", at positions 524 to 776 of the family's 1533-position model. The record is from RNAcentral.
UACAGAGGUCUCAAGCGUUGUUCGGAUUCAUUGGGCGUAAAGGGCGCGUAGGCGGCGUGACAAGUCACUUGUGAAAUCUCCGGGCUUAACUCGGAACGGUCAAGUGAUACUGUCGUGCUAGAGUACAGAAGGGGCAACUGGAAUUCUCGGUGUAGCGGUGAAAUGCGUAGAUAUCGAGAGGAACACCUGCGGCGAAGGCGGGUUGCUGGGCUGAUACUGACGCUGAGGCGCGAAAGCCAGGGGAGCGAACGGG